Molecule: ribosomal RNA, 413 nt
Filed under: uncultured microorganism
Description: bacterial SSU rRNA
Rfam family: Archaeal small subunit ribosomal RNA
Source: RNAcentral
CAGCCGCCGCGGUAAUACCGGCGGCCCGAGUGGCGGUCACUAUUAUUGGGCUUAAAGCGUCCGUAGCCGGGUUGGGAAGUCCUCCGGGAAAUCUGGCCGCUUAACGGUCAGAAUGCCGGAGGAUACUCCCAGCCUAGGAGCGGGAGAGGCCGAGGGUAUUCCCGGAGUAGGGGUGAAAUCCUAUAAUCCCGGGAGGACCACCUGUGGCGAAGGCGCUCGGCGGGAACGCGGCCGACGGUGAGGGACGAAGGCCAGGGGAGCAAACCGGAUUAGAUACCCGGGUAGUCCUGGCUGUAAACGAUGCGGACUUUGUGUCGGACAAGCUAUGAGCUUGUCCGGUGCCGGAGGGAAACCGUUAAGUCCGCCGCCUGGGGAGUACGGCCGCAAGGCUGAAACUUAAAGGAAUUGGCGGG